GCGAAGGCGGUUUACCAGCGCUGCACUGACGCUCAGUCACGAAAGCGUGGGGAGCAAAUAGGAUUAGAUACCCUAGUAGUCCACGCCGUAAACGAUGAUGACUAACUAUUCGAGUGAUCGAGUGGUGAAGCUAACGCAUUAAGUCAUCCGCCUGGGAAGUACGGUCGCAAGACUGAAACUUAAAGGAAUUGACGGGACCCCGCACAAGUAGUGGAGCAUGUGGUUUAAUUCGAAGCUACGCGGAAAACCUUACCAGAACUUGACAUGGAGACUACCCCCCGGGCAACGCCGGGGAACUACUACUCCACAGGUGGUGCAUGGUUGUCGUCAGCUCGUGUCGUGAGAUGUUAGGUUAAGUCCUGCAACGAGCGCAACCCUUGUCGCUAGUUACCAUCAUUCAGUUGGGGACUCUAGCGAGACUGCCGAUGCAAAUCGGAGGAAGGUGGGGAUGACGUCAAAUCAGCAUGCCCUUUAUGUCCUGGGCAACACACGUGCUACAAUGGCCGUUACAAAGAGACGCGAUGCCGCGAGGCGGAGCAAAUCUCAAAAAGGCGGUCUCAGUUCAGAUUGGAGUCUGCAAUUCGACUCCAUGAAGGCGGAA
This 601-nucleotide ribosomal RNA is filed under the name uncultured bacterium. Its description in RNAcentral is "bacterial SSU rRNA". It matches the Rfam family "Bacterial small subunit ribosomal RNA", at positions 715 to 1331 of the family's 1533-position model. The record is from RNAcentral.